This 149-nucleotide ribosomal RNA is filed under the name uncultured bacterium. RNAcentral describes it as "partial 16S ribosomal RNA". It matches the Rfam family "Bacterial small subunit ribosomal RNA", at positions 384 to 525 of the family's 1533-position model. The record is from RNAcentral.
UGAUCCAGCCAUUCCGCGUGAGUGAAGAAGGCCUUCGGGUUGUAAAGCUCUUUCAGCAGGAACGAAACGGUGGUCCCUAAUACGGGCUACUAAUGACGGUACCUGAAGAAGAAGCACCGGCUAACUACGUGCCAGCAGCCGCGGUAAUA